UACGGAGGAUCCAAGCGUUAUCCGGAUUUAUUGGGUUUAAAGGGUGCGUAGGCGGCCUAUUAAGUCAGGGGUGAAAGACGGUAGCUUAACUAUCGCAGUGCCUUUGAUACUGAUGGGCUUGAAUGUACUUGAGGUAGGCGGAAUGUGACAAGUAGCGGUGAAAUGCAUAGAUAUGCCACAGAACACCAAUUGCGAAGGCAGCUUACUAAAGUAUGAUUGACGCUGAGGCACGAAAGCGUGGGGAUCAAACAGG
Molecule: ribosomal RNA, 253 nt
Filed under: uncultured bacterium
Lineage: Bacteria
Description: partial 16S ribosomal RNA
Rfam family: Bacterial small subunit ribosomal RNA
Source: RNAcentral